Molecule: ribosomal RNA, 497 nt
Filed under: uncultured bacterium
Lineage: Bacteria
Description: partial 16S ribosomal RNA
Rfam family: Bacterial small subunit ribosomal RNA
Source: RNAcentral
GAUGAACGCUGGCGGCGUGCCUAAUACAUGCAAGUCGAGCGAACGGACGAGAAGCUUGCUUCUCUGAUGUUAGCGGCGGACGGGUGAGUAACACGUGGAUAACCUACCUAUAAGACUGGGAUAACUUCGGGAAACCGGAGCUAAUACCGGAUAAUAUUUUGAACCGCAUGGUUCAAAAGUGAAAGACGGUCUUGCUGUCACUUAUAGAUGGAUCCGCGCUGCAUUAGCUAGUUGGUAAGGUAACGGCUUACCAAGGCAACGAUGCAUAGCCGACCUGAGAGGGGGAUGGGACACACGGGAACUGAGACAGGGUCAAAAGUCCGAGGGGAGGAGGAAGAAGGAAAUUUUCAGCAAGGGGAGAAAGACGAAGGGAGAAACGCGGGGGGAGUAAUGAAGGUCUACGGAACGAAAAACUGUGUUAUGGGGAAAAAAAAUAUGUGAAAGUACCGGGACAAAUCUUGACGGUACAUAAUAAAAAAACCACGGAAAACUACGGC